ACACGUGCUCCGGGGUCGGUGUAAUUCCGAGCCGGCGGUGACAGUCCGCGACCCACGCCUCGGCGUGGUUGACCUGGUGGAACUCCAGGACCGACGGUGAAAGUCCGGAUGGGAGGAAGUACGUGG
This 126-nucleotide non-coding RNA is filed under the name Oerskovia sp. Root918. RNAcentral describes it as "FMN riboswitch aptamer (RFN element)". It matches the Rfam family "FMN riboswitch aptamer (RFN element)". Rfam says of the family: The RFN element is a highly conserved domain that is found frequently in the 5'-untranslated regions of prokaryotic mRNAs that encode for flavin mononucleotide (FMN) biosynthesis and transport proteins. This element is a metabolite-dependent riboswitch that directly binds FMN in the absence of proteins. RNAcentral also lists the same sequence under 1 other name. The record is from Rfam by way of RNAcentral. Lineage: Bacteria; Bacillati; Actinomycetota; Actinomycetes; Micrococcales; Cellulomonadaceae.